GCGACCCCAGGACGGGCGAGGCCACCCGCCGAGUUUAAGCAUAUCAAUAAGC
This 52-nucleotide ribosomal RNA is filed under the name Dichaea sp. US:3572671. RNAcentral's name for it is "partial 26S ribosomal RNA". The record is from RNAcentral. Lineage: Eukaryota; Viridiplantae; Streptophyta; Magnoliopsida; Asparagales; Orchidaceae.